Molecule: long non-coding RNA, 2614 nt
Organism: Paramisgurnus dabryanus
Lineage: Eukaryota; Metazoa; Chordata; Actinopteri; Cypriniformes; Cobitidae
Source: RefSeq, a predicted model, not a curated record
AACACUGUGAAACCGUGGUAUUUUUGCUAAAGGUAAUCAUACCGCCAGAAUCUUAUACUGGCCCAUGCCUACUAAGCGGUUGUACAAUGUGUUAGAAACAUCAAGAUUCUCACAUUUUUAGGGCUAGCGCAAUACCACAGUUUUGUCUAUUCUUCAUGUUCUCUAGGGCAGUUAUUUUGCCCCAGUGACAGAAACAGCGACAGUAAUCAAAUAAUUCAUUACCUUAUCUACAUGUGGGUAGAGGCCCACAGGUGAAGGAAGAUUUUUGGCCUGCACUUCCACAGCUGGUAAACAUGGAUUGUGGUGGGCUAGUGACAGAAUGAAGAAGAUCAGUUUAAAAUGUGCUUUACAACCAGAGGUUGCAUUAUUUUGACAGACAAGGGCUGUAAGAAAAUUGUCAAAAUCAAUAAUAUGAGCCAACAGCCAAACUAUAACAACUAAACUCAAUCAACUAUCUUAAUCUGCCUGAACUCAAAUCUUGUGGUCUAUAAAGUGGGAGUUUAUCUGUGUGUAAUUCAACCAUCAUGUUAGACUGAAGGAAUUGCAGUUAUCAUUAGAUUUCACGACAGCACUGGACAAAUUACUUCUCACACUCAGUGUGACUUGAGACAAAGGAUAAACAAAGACAUUGAGUAUGUUUACAUGCACAUAAUAAGAGGACAAUUAUCUUAUUAUGAUAUUAUAAAAAUCAGCUUAUUACAUUAACAUGUUUCAAGCGUUUUAAUUUACUUUUAUUUGUUAAGUUUAUCUAUCACAGGUGGAGACAUACGCACAUACGAAACGGCAAAAAAGACGUUAAAAUCUGGUUUAAGAGCAAAAAAACUACCUGUGCCAAUCAGUUUUUGCCAUUUAUGGGCUUUACCCUAUAAAAGAAAACCAUUUUAUGCAUUUAAAUGACCUUACACGUUAUCAGUUUAUUAAGCGUUUAGACUAUGUAGACACACUCACUGUGCACUAAAAUAAAAAAAAAAUGGUUAACACGACCCCUCGUGGUGGCUUCACUCAGAGGUUGGAGAAGACAACCGGUGGACUAAACAUCAAGCCUCUGCACGAUUCAGGUAAGUGGAAUAAAAUACAUUGUAAAUAAACAUUAUUAAAACAGAUUGUGAAGUCAUUCAUUCAAAACUUGCUAUGACCUAAGCCUAAAUGACUUAAUUUCUUUUUAGAAUUAAGACAACCUUAGCAGGAGAGCCCCAGCAGUAACUUUCUCUCAAGCAGAUGAGCAAUAAGUUGCUUUGUAUGAACACCACCCUAACAAUCAAGUAGCCUGUUAACAGUAGACCAAAGGUAUGAUGAUCAAUUAUAAAUGCAAUAUGGUUGAAAGGUCAGUAAACAAACAACAAAAAGCUUGACAAAAAUGUAGCUUGAAGGAGAAGGGACAGCUGAGUAACAAAGUCCUGGUACGCAGACGACGAUACUAUUACACUGACAAGAGUGUAAUGAUGAUGGAGACACAAGCCAGAGAAAGGGGGGACCAAACACCAGGCCAGAAUUCUGCAUGAGUCAGAUCCAGUGGGUGCAGAUCAUCAUACAGAUGGUUCAAGUGUGGAUCCACCUAAUAUUCAAGAUUUUCUGUCCUGGGACACUCGGCUAACCAUCAAGAAAGAAAACACUCCAGUGGGCAUCCUUUAUCCAUCCAGACCCUCAUACAGAUGGUUGGAGUUUUGAUUCACCUAAAGUACCAUGCAAGAGCACUCAUUUUCACUCUUGAGACCAUGGUGUGACCUGCAAGGUCGAAUGGAGACUGUAAACGAGACAAUCUUGGAGUCACCUGCAUUCACUGGUCCAAUUGUUAAUCCAAUUACAGAUGGAGAUUAUAGAAGAGGAUGAUGUCUUUUCUCCAACAUCUUUCUAGACUGAUAAAAGAUCUAGACAGGCUUGAACAAAAGUUAACAGAGGGGCUUAUAUAGAGAAUGGUGAGCAGCUACACAUAAAAGAAGAACAUGGAGAAUCUGCCCAGAGGUGUUAACCAGCAAUGCAGCUAUACAACUAAAUUGAUGCAGGCGGAAACAAUAAUGCAGCUGCUGCAGAUGAAGAAUCUGUCCGUCUACCACUGAAGGAGACGCGGAAAAUCGGGAAAAGAUGUUCUUUGCCCGAGGAAGCAUUUGAUUAAUUUAAAGAUAUUGUGUUUCUUUGUAUGUUAUAGAAAAACAUUGCUUUUUUUGCAUACACUCGUGUAAAUAUGCAUCUUAUGAAUGUUUUCCUUUGUCUAAUUUUAAUAAAUUUUACGCAAUCAACUGCCUGUUUUAUUGAAAAAACUGUUUUAAUUGUUGUCAAUGAUAUAUUGUAAUAAUAUGUGUGUAUAACUGUGUAGAAGAUGUAGUUUAGAGCAAUUUAUUUUUAAUGAUCUUUUAAUCGUCUUUUAAAGCUCUCAGAAACAUCUUAGAAAGAGCUCGAUUAAAGCUCUUAUAAAGAUCUUUUAAAGAUCUAAGAAACAUCUUGGAAAUAUCUUAGAAACAUCUGCUAACCAUCAUUCUAAAUAUCAAGCGUCUUGAAAAGAUCUUAAAAGCGUCUUCAAAACGGCUGGGCUCGUACGUCUCAGAUACGUAAUUCAUAUGGGCAAACGACCUUUAUAAUACGUUUUCCAGACGGAAUGGAAAUCUGAGUGAUUACC